Acyrthosiphon pisum (pea aphid) is the source of this 1698-nucleotide RNA transcript. RefSeq lists it as uncharacterized. The transcript has 5 exons. NCBI's taxonomy places the organism in Eukaryota, Metazoa, Arthropoda, Insecta, Hemiptera, Aphididae. The record is from RefSeq and is a predicted model, not a curated record.
AAUUUUUGUGGAAAACCAAAGUAAAUUGAAAUUAGGCAUUUAUUUAUUUUUUUAUAUAUAUAUGACAGUCAUCCAUUAUUAUAUACAAUUAUUUGAUGUAUGGAAACACAUGAUACUAAAUGAUAAUUUCAAUAAUUUAAAUUCUAGUAUUGUUUUAAAUACAGCAAUAUAUUUUUAUUACAGUUGUUAAUAUACAUACAUACCCACCUUCAGCAUCAGAAAGCAUCGAUGAUCUCUGAUCAGGCAGAAACGAAAUCAUACACCUUUCGGAUAAUGUCACAUACAACACAAGUUAGUAUACAUGUACUCCCUCUGUCAGCAACAGAAAGCGUCGAUGAAACUAAAUCAACCGCCGUUGAGAUACCGCCACCUACACUCAAGGUAUUUCAAGAGACGUGCCAAUUUAGAAAGACAUUUCUAUACACAUUUUGGAGGGAAAAGUUAUGAUUGCGAAGCUUGUUUUAAAUCAUAUACAUUCAAAUUUAAUCUGAAAUAUCACAUUGACUCUCAACACAAUGAUAAUCCGCAGGAAGGGUUAGGUUACUUGAGGGUACUUGAGACGUUUUGGUAAUAUGUAAUGCAACUAGUCAUUUAAAAAAUAUAUAUAUUUCCAUCGAAAAUAAUAUGUAAAAAUAUAUAUAAAACGGAGUUAGUACAAUUGUACACUAUAAUAACGUACAUCAAUUUAUUUAAAGAUCAAAUUCAUGGAUUCUUUGUCAGUCAUACCAUAAUCAUACUAAACGUUUUACCAUACAUUAAAUGUAACUGUACGCAGUAGACAAAGAAUUUGUGGAAUUUAUAAAUAAAAUUGGAUUCAUGGUGGCUGAUGCAAUAAAUCAUGAACAAAAACGGUAAAUUUUAAAAACAAUAUUCAUCACAUUACUAAAAUAAUAAAAAUAAAUAAUGUUAAAUAUAAAUUUAUUAAAAACGGAUUCUUCCCAAAUUUCAAAACCGUUAUUGACGAUCAGUCGGUCAUAUUCUAAUUUUUAUGCCACAGGAAGUUGUUAUAGAUUUUAAUAAAAUGUUGACAUUGGCGUGCAUUUAUAUUUACUAUGAAAAUUCAUUGCGAUCACGAGAUGACACACUAUCCAAUAUAUAUGGCCAUAUCAAAGUAGUUAUGUCUAUAAUAUGCUGCAACUAUAUCGAUAUAAAAAAUACAAAGACCACACUACAACAUUUGGCGAAUGAAAAUUGUUUAGAAGAGAAAAAAAAACAACUAUACAAUUUAUGCUUCCGAUCAAUCAAAAACAAUAUAAAACAUCCAAAUAGUCAACAAAAUUUUAAAUAUUACUUAUGAAAUAUGUAUGAAGACAUCUAUAUUUUACAAUCUGCCAACAACCGGUUACACCUAAGAAAACCAUUUGACAAAAAGCCAUCCGACACAAAGCCAUCCAAAAUCAACAUAAAGGCACGCGACAAAAAGCCACCUGACAAAAGACCACCAUUCAGUCUGGCCAAUUUUGCACCAUCUUUUAUCACAAUUAUUUAAAACGACAAAAAACUAUCAAAAUAAUUAAAUAUUGUACCUAUUAUCAAAUAUCAUUUAUCUUGAUGUUCCUAAUUAAUUUUUAUCAUUAUUCACUAUAUUAACUUAUCAAUUAUCAUUAACUCGUCAUUAUUCUAUGAGUAUUUUAAAAUUGGAAAUUGUUUGUACAUCUUAAAAUAUUAAUAAAUCACUUUAAAAAAAAAAUUUUAUAA